GUGCUCACUUAAGUAGCACAUAUACGAAAAUUGGAAUGAUAGAGCAAAAAUCAUUAACAUGGUGCCUGUGUGAGGAUGAUUUGCAAAUUUGUGAAGUGUUCCAUAUUUUU
Non-coding RNA from Ailuropoda melanoleuca (giant panda), 110 nucleotides. The record is from Rfam. NCBI's taxonomy places the organism in Eukaryota, Metazoa, Chordata, Mammalia, Carnivora, Ursidae.